RNAcentral lists this unclassified non-coding RNA (380 nucleotides) under uncultured Ophiostomataceae. Its description in RNAcentral is "sequence contains ITS1". The stretch from base 1 to 105 matches the Rfam family "5.8S ribosomal RNA", at positions 50 to 154 of the family's 154-position model. Lineage: Eukaryota; Fungi; Ascomycota; Sordariomycetes; Ophiostomatales. The record is from RNAcentral.
GAAGUGCGAUAAGCAAUGCGAAUUGCAGAAUUCCGCGAGUCAUCAGAUCUUUGAACGCAAAUGGCGCCGGAGGGAUAUCCUUCUGGCAUGUCUGUUUCAGUGUCUGAGAGGUUUCACCAACAUCUUAAUGUGAUUGACAGCAGCAGCAGCAACAUUGUUUGCUUGUUGCAGGUUGUCUCUCAUGAAAGAUGCGCGAGUGGAUCUUUCGGUCCAAUGAAGUGGUCACAUCACACGCAUGUGAUUUCAUUGGGAGCACCGAAUUAUCCGCCAUGCUCGCGGUGUCAUCACAGGAAGAUAUGUAUAUCUCACGAUAUAUGUAGCUUCUUUUUUUCUCUCUACACCCUGCAUCUGAGAUAGGCAAGAUCACCCGCUGAACUUAA